This 299-nucleotide ribosomal RNA is filed under the name uncultured Pseudomonadota bacterium. RNAcentral's name for it is "uncultured proteobacterium partial 16S ribosomal RNA". It matches the Rfam family "Bacterial small subunit ribosomal RNA", at positions 28 to 351 of the family's 1533-position model. The record is from RNAcentral. Lineage: Bacteria; Pseudomonadati; Pseudomonadota.
GAUGAACGCUGGCGGCGUGCCUAAUGCAUGCAAGCCGAACGGCCUGAUUUAUCAGGCAGUGGCAGACGGGUGAGUAACGCGUAGGAAUGUGUCCAGAGGUGGGGGACAACCCCGGGAAACUGGGGCUAAUACCGCAUAUGAGCUGAGGCUCAAAGCAGUAAUGCGCCUUUGGAGCAGCCUGCGUCCGAUUAGGUAGUUGGUGGGGUAAUGGCCUACCAAGCCUGCGAUCGGUAGCUGGUCUGAGAGGACGAUCAGCCACACUGGGACUGAGACACGGCCCAGACUCCUACGGGUGGCUG